RNAcentral lists this ribosomal RNA (519 nucleotides) under uncultured bacterium. RNAcentral describes it as "bacterial SSU rRNA". It matches the Rfam family "Bacterial small subunit ribosomal RNA", at positions 791 to 1310 of the family's 1533-position model. The record is from RNAcentral.
UAGUCCACGCCCUAAACGAUGCUUACUCGACGUUUGUAUUUAUAUGAGCGUCUAAGGGAAACCAAUAAGUAAGCCACCUGGGGAGUACGUCGGCAACGAUGAAACUCAAAGGAAUUGACGGGGUCCGCACAAGCGGUGGAGCAUGUGGUUUAAUUCGAUGAUACGCGAGGAACCUUACCUGGGCUCGAACGCUAUUGGGCGAUAUGUCGAAAGGCGUAUUUUCUCGGAACUGAUAGUGAGGUGCUGCAUGGUUGUCGUCAACUCGUGCCGUGAGGUGUUGGGUUAAGUCCCGCAACGAGUGCAACCCCUAUUUUCAGUUGCCAACACAUAAUGGUGGGGACUCUGGAAAGACUGCCGGCGUAAGCCGCGAGGAAGGUGGGGACGACGUCAAAUCAUCAUGGGCCUUUACGCCCAGGGGCUACACACGUGCUACAAUGGUAGGGUACAGAGGGGUCGCGAAGCCGCGAGGCUAAGCUAAUCUCAGAAAGCCUAGCCCAGUUCGGGAUUGGGAGUCUGCAA